CGUAGGUGGCAAGCGUUGUCCGGAAUUAUUGGGCGUAAAGGGCGCGUAGGCGGUCCCUUAAGUCAGAUGUGAAAUCCCGAGGCUCAACCUCGGGCGUGCAUUUGAAACUGGGGGACUAGAGUGCAGGAGAGGUAAGUGGAAUUCCUAGUGUAGCGGUGAAAUGCGUAGAUAUUAGGAGGAACACCAGUGGCGAAGGCGACUUACUGGACUGUAACUGACGCUGAGGCGCGAAAGCGUGGGGAGCAAACAGGAUUAGAUACCCUGGUAGUCCACGCUGUAAACGAUGGAUACUAGGUGUGGGAGGUAUCGACCCCUUCCGUGCCGCAGUAAACGCAAUAAGUAUCCCGCCUGGGGAGUACGGCCGCAAGGUUGAUUA
RNAcentral lists this ribosomal RNA (376 nucleotides) under uncultured organism. RNAcentral's name for it is "bacterial SSU rRNA". It matches the Rfam family "Bacterial small subunit ribosomal RNA", at positions 526 to 899 of the family's 1533-position model. The record is from RNAcentral.